ACCUGCGGAGGGCAGCAGGGAAGUGAGCGUGGAGCUGGGGCCGCGAGGACCUAACAGGGCAGGAUUUGUCGAGCCGCCGCCGCUUACCUGUGCUUGAAUCGCACCAUGGCGGUCUCUGCUCCGGCUGCCCUACGCCCAAAGCGGAUGUCGGUUUCGCUGGCGGCAAAUGGGAAAUUAGUUUCCGUAAUCUUGCAGCCACUCAGAGAGGGAAGCAGGGUAAGAAGGCGGGGCUAGAGUGUUGGGAGGCCGAGCCCAAUGUCAGUCUCCCUUAAGCCCCACCUCCCGCAAACGUUUGGAGGGCGCAUGCGCCCUGCUGGACUGCCUCGUUGAGGUUUAGGUAUUCCGUGGUUGAGGUCCGCGGUUCCGUGGUGUAUGGUUGUGUUGGGUGGUUCUGCUCCACGCCGGAGUUUGCAAAUCUGUGUAGGAGGCAGCUGCUGCAUUUGGGACUCUCGGGAUGUCUGCUUUCUGUUACCUUGCAGUACAGUUGUGUAUGCAUUUAUAUUCACUCCCUAAACUAGACGGUGGAAUUUAAGAGGGCAAGACCCUGCACUUACACGCCUGGGAUUGACACGGGAAAUCGGACCCUUAGUUUCAGGUGCUGUCUUUAGCUCUACAGAUACAGCAGAGAACAAAGGAGAAUUGGCCUUGCCCAAGUGGAGCUAAAGUCUCUUCUGGAACGUGGAGCACGGAAGGAGACCAAUCUUCCCUACAGACCAAAGAUAAAUUUCUUUUGAAGUACUCUGGAUGGACAAAAAAUCUGUUCAAAAGAUCAAAGCGUGAUUAUUUUGCCAAAUUAUUAUUUGAAGAAUACGCUCACCAUGAUCAUACAACUAUUUUUUGAUUUAUGGAAAUACAAUUGGUAUUCAACUUUUUAGGAGUAUGUUUAGCGUGUAAAACAAGAACAAAUUGCAUGAAGUAAGAGCCCACGUCUGUGUUGUUUCUCACUAAGAUCAGCACCUUUCUGGCCACCUAGUAGGCUUUUGAAUAUCUGUGUGAUUGAUUUCAAUACUGGAAUAUGUUUUCUGUUAAAUCUCAAGGGCAUCAGUUCUGCAGUUCUCCCUUUAUAGUUGUUAACAUGAAUUUUGAUGACACGAAAAAGCUUGUUCUCCGAAUUAUAUUUAGCUCAUACAAA
Long non-coding RNA from Neofelis nebulosa (Clouded leopard), 1132 nucleotides. RefSeq lists it as uncharacterized. Lineage: Eukaryota; Metazoa; Chordata; Mammalia; Carnivora; Felidae. The transcript is spliced from 3 exons. The record is from RefSeq and is a predicted model, not a curated record.